This 497-nucleotide ribosomal RNA is filed under the name uncultured bacterium. Its description in RNAcentral is "partial 16S ribosomal RNA". It matches the Rfam family "Bacterial small subunit ribosomal RNA", at positions 28 to 507 of the family's 1533-position model. The record is from RNAcentral.
GAUGAACGCUGGCGGCGUGCCUAAUACAUGCAAGUCGAGCGAACAGACGAGGAGCUUGCUCCUUCGACGUUAGCGGCGGACGGGUGAGUAACACGUAGGUAACCUACCUAUAAGACUGGGAUAACUUCGGGAAACCGGAGCUAAUACCGGAUAAUAUUUCGAACCGCAUGGUUCGAUAGUGAAAGAUGGCUUUGCUAUCACUUAUAGAUGGACCUGCGCCGUAUUAGUUAGUUGGUAAGGUAACGGCUUACCAAGGCAACGAUACGUAGCCGACCUGAGAGGGUGGUCGGCCACACUGGAACUGAGACACGGUCCAGACUCCUACGGGAGGCAGCAGUAGGGAAUCUUCCGCAAUGGGCGAAAGCCUGACGGAGCAACGCCGCGUGAGUGAUGAAGGUCUUCUGAUCGUAAAACUCUGUUAUUAGGGAAGAACAAACGUGUAAGUAACUGUGCACGUCUUGACGGUACCUAAUCAGAAAGCCACGGCUAACUACGUG